AUUACUUGAUCCAUGACACCCACAGAUUAAUAAACAAAAGGCAGAUGGAGCGCGCCGAACAUGCGAGUGAAGCCACCAAAGCGAAUACAAAAUCAAAAGCGAAUACAAAGUCGCAGCAGUGCUAAAGAUAGCGUCGUAUUGUUUAAACAUCUCGAGUGAUUCAUUAUUUUGUGUCAAAAAAUGCCGUCUUGUGUUAUUAAACAUUGUGAAAGUUGUUCCCAAAAAUAAAAAAAAGAGGAUGGAAUUUCAUUUCACAGAUUGCCGACAGAUGUUGUUCUACGCGAGGAAUGGGUUUCUAUUAUUCGCCAAAGCAGGCAAGACAAUAAUUGGCAGGCUUCAAAAUUUUGCGUUGUGUGUUCAUUACAUUUUAAAGAGGAUGGCUUAUGCUUUACCGAAAAAUAUCGUAGGUUGAUAAAAAAAUAUUCCGAUGUAAUUAUUUGUAAUACUAUCUAAUCUUUUGGUCUAGUCUUUAAGUUGUCUGUAUAUCGAUGUAUGUGUGUGUGUGUGAAUAAAUGAUGAUGAUUAUUAUUAUUAUUAUUAUUAUUAAUAAAUAUUUUAAAUUAUGUAUUUUUUUUAAUUUGUCUAAUGAAAUAAAU
This 596-nucleotide unclassified non-coding RNA is filed under the name Melitaea cinxia (Glanville fritillary). RNAcentral's name for it is "misc RNA ENSMCXG00005014143.1". Lineage: Eukaryota; Metazoa; Arthropoda; Insecta; Lepidoptera; Nymphalidae. The record is from RNAcentral.